CGGUCGCCCGCGAGGUCCUUAAGCCACGGCCACUUGGCGGUCGCGUGCGUGAGCGCCUUCGCGCGCACGCCGGGCACGUCGGCGGAGACCAGC
RNAcentral lists this transfer RNA (93 nucleotides) under Clavibacter michiganensis. RNAcentral's name for it is "tRNA-Gln". The record is from RNAcentral. Lineage: Bacteria; Bacillati; Actinomycetota; Actinomycetes; Micrococcales; Microbacteriaceae.